UGAAGUGAAGAGAUGAAGAAUUGAAAACUGAAGGGGAAUGGUUGAAUGGUUCAGAAAUGGCGAUGGUGAAUGGGCGUGAAGAGAGCCACUGAAGAAUGGAUCACUGCUCUGGGUUUAUAGAGUUUGCAGAGCUGAUCUGAAUGUGUAGUCAAUGCAGGUUUUCAAGUGUUUGGAUGCUGCAAGUUUCUGAGCUUUGCUCUUAAUGAUAAGUGAUGUGAACUUAUUUUUUGUGAUUUGGAAAAGGCUGGAAUAUGGCAUUGGCAGUAAGAUGGCAGUGUGAAGUUUGGAGCAGAAGGUCAUUUGAAGGGUUUAUGGCAAAGGGUUUAGAAGUAAUAGGCUUUAUGAAAUCAUGUCGUCUUGGUUAGAAGCAUAUUUUUGUGUAGUUUUCUUUGUACUCUCUUUGUAAUGGAAUUGUAUUGUUGUAAUGGAGACAUUUGGGAACCGAACUUGUAAUAGUG
Vicia villosa (hairy vetch) is the source of this 458-nucleotide long non-coding RNA. RefSeq lists it as uncharacterized. The record is from RefSeq and is a predicted model, not a curated record. The transcript has 3 exons. Lineage: Eukaryota; Viridiplantae; Streptophyta; Magnoliopsida; Fabales; Fabaceae.